This 72-nucleotide transfer RNA is filed under the name Spathaspora arborariae UFMG-19.1A. RNAcentral describes it as "tRNA-Glu (TTC) (tRNA-Glu-TTC-2-1)". It matches the Rfam family "tRNA". Rfam says of the family: Transfer RNA (tRNA) molecules are approximately 80 nucleotides in length. Their secondary structure includes four short double-helical elements and three loops (D, anti-codon, and T loops). Further hydrogen bonds mediate the characteristic L-shaped molecular structure. tRNAs have two regions of fundamental functional importance: the anti-codon, which is responsible for specific mRNA codon recognition, and the 3' end, to which the tRNAs corresponding amino acid is attached (by aminoacyl-tRNA synthetases). tRNAs cope with the degeneracy of the genetic code in two manners: having more than one tRNA (with a specific anti-codon) for a particular amino acid; and 'wobble' base-pairing, i.e. permitting non-standard base-pairing at the 3rd anti-codon position. Lineage: Eukaryota; Fungi; Ascomycota; Pichiomycetes; Serinales; Debaryomycetaceae. The record is from RNAcentral.
GACUAUAUGAUCUAAUGGUUAUGAUACAACACCUUCAACGUUGUUAUAUGGGUUCAAUUCCCAUUAUGGUUA